GUGACCUCCAAAUCAGGUAGGACUACCCGCUGAACUUAAGCAUAUCAAUAAGCGGAGGAAAGAACUAACAGGAUCCCCUAGUACUGCGAGUGAAGCGGGAAAGCUCAAUUUAAAUCG
RNAcentral lists this ribosomal RNA (117 nucleotides) under uncultured Cortinarius. Its description in RNAcentral is "partial 28S ribosomal RNA". It matches the Rfam family "Eukaryotic large subunit ribosomal RNA", at positions 1 to 121 of the family's 3401-position model. Lineage: Eukaryota; Fungi; Basidiomycota; Agaricomycetes; Agaricales; Cortinariaceae. The record is from RNAcentral.